AGCGAACGCUGGCGGCAGGCCUAAUACAUGCAAGUCGAACGAAGCCUUCGGGCUUAGUGGCGGACGGGUGAGUAACACGUGGGAACGUACCCUUUGGUCGGAACAACUCAGGGAAACUUGAGCUAAUACCGAAUGAGCCCCAUCCUUGAACAAGAUGGGGUGGGAAAGAUUUAUCGCCAUUGGAGCGGCCCGCGUCUGAUUAGCUAGUUGGUGGGGUAAAGGCCCACAAGGCUACGAUCAGAGCUGGUCUGAGAGGAUGAAUCAGCCACACUGGGACUGAGACACGGCCCAGACUCCUACGGGAGGCAGCAGUAGGGAAUCUUGCGCAA
This 329-nucleotide ribosomal RNA is filed under the name uncultured bacterium. RNAcentral's name for it is "partial 16S ribosomal RNA". It matches the Rfam family "Bacterial small subunit ribosomal RNA", at positions 29 to 371 of the family's 1533-position model. The record is from RNAcentral.